Molecule: small nuclear RNA, 63 nt
Filed under: Echinops telfairi (small Madagascar hedgehog)
Lineage: Eukaryota; Metazoa; Chordata; Mammalia; Afrosoricida; Tenrecidae
Description: U7 small nuclear RNA (ENSETEG00000026910.1)
Rfam family: U7 small nuclear RNA
About the family: Animal histone pre-mRNAs are spliced by a different mechanism than nuclear pre-mRNAs and self-splicing introns.
Source: RNAcentral
UACUGUUAUAACUCUUUUAGAAAUUGUCUAGCGGGGUUUCCGUUUUUUUUUCUGGAACCCGAC